RNAcentral lists this long non-coding RNA (665 nucleotides) under Citrus sinensis (sweet orange). RNAcentral describes it as "long non-coding RNA (CSIN_LNC003085)". Lineage: Eukaryota; Viridiplantae; Streptophyta; Magnoliopsida; Sapindales; Rutaceae. The record is from RNAcentral.
UAAGAAUCAUGUUGUAGCCUUUAUGUCUUCUGGCAUAUUUCUCACCCCUAUACCUUAAUGGGCUUCCAUUGACUAGACGAGGGUAGAACCCGACUAUCCUAUCUGGAUGUUGACGCCAUACCUGAAAACCCCGUUCAAUAUCAUCACAAGUCAUCAUAAUAUCAUCGUCAAGCUCAAGAACUCCACGAGUCUUUAUUAAUGGAUCCAGCUUAAAGCGAUUGUUCAGUGAGUUUUGUUUCUCCACUCUAAUCCUCACAGGAACUGCUGAAUCUAGAUCACUCAACUUCGGAGGCUCCCCUUUAUUCCACACAACAACAAUCUCUUUCACUGAAGAACACCUGGAGUAAUGCUUCACAUACAUUUUCAAAUUCCAGAGGCGAGCAUCGAAUGUCAUAGUUAACAUUGUGAACUGAGAGUAGUGACCUUUCCACAUGUAAGCUUCAUCUGCCCCAUUGCCUCCAUAGAUAAACUUAACCCCCGUGCACGUUAGUGCAACCCCAGCUACAAAUAUCACAGCCAGAACCAAUCUUCCAAUGCUGGUAUUGGGUUUUAUCUUGCCUUGGAGAUAUGAAGCUGAUCUAUUUAAGCGGCUACAAAACCGUCUGACCUUUGAACAUAGCAUACUUUCCCUUUCCCAGGUCAGCAAACUAUCACUUCUCUUCCCU